This 478-nucleotide ribosomal RNA is filed under the name uncultured bacterium. RNAcentral's name for it is "bacterial SSU rRNA". It matches the Rfam family "Bacterial small subunit ribosomal RNA", at positions 30 to 506 of the family's 1533-position model. The record is from RNAcentral.
UUGAACGCUGGCGGCAUGCUUUACACAUGCAAGUCGAACGGUAGACCCUUUCGGGGGUUGAGAGUGGCGAACGGGUGAGUAAUGCAUCGGAACAUAUCCGGGAGUGGGGGAUAACGUAGCGAAAGUUAUGCUAAUACCGCAUAUGCCCUGAGGGGGAAAGUGGGGGAUCGCAAGACCUCACGCUUUCGGAGUGGCCGAUAUCGGAUUAGCUAGUUGGUGGGGUAAAGGCCCACCAAGGCGACGAUCCGUAGCUGGUCUGAGAGGACGACCAGCCACACUGGGACUGAGACACGGCCCAGACUCCUACGGGAGGCAGCAGUGGGGAAUUUUGGACAAUGGGGGCAACCCUGAUCCAGCCAUGCCGCGUGAGUGAAGAAGGCCUUCGGGUUGUAAAGCUCUUUCGGACGGAAAGAAACGGUCACGGCCAAUACCCGUGGCUAAUGACGGUACCGUCAGAAGAAGCACCGGCUAACUACGU